AGCUGACGUACGAGGAUGGGCCUGCGUCCUAUCAGCUAGUUGGUGGGGUAGCGGCCUACCAAGGCGACGACGGGUAGCUGGUCUGAGAGGAUGAUCAGCCACACUGGCACUGGAACACGGGCCAGACUCCUACGGGAGGCAGCAGUGAGGAAUUUUGCGCAAUGGCCGCAAGGCUGACGCAGCAACGCCGCGUGGGUGAUGAAGGCCUUCGGGUCGUAAAGCCCUGUCAGGUGGGAAGAAAGGUUUCAAGGGGAAAGACUUGGGAUUUGACGGUACCACCAGAGGAAGCACCGGCUAACUCCGUGCCAGCAGCCGCGGUAAUACGGAGGGUGCGAGCGUUAUUCGGAAUUACUGGGCGUAAAGCGCGUGUAGGCGGGGAAGCAAGUCUGAUGUGAAAGCCCUGGGCUUAACCUGGGAAGUGCAUUGGAAACUGUUUUUCUUGAGUACUGGAGAGGAAGGGGGAAUUCCCGGUGUAGAGGUGAAAUUCGUAGAGAUCGGGAGGAAUACCAGUGGCGUAGGCGCCCUUCUGGACGGUAACUGACGCUGAGACGCGAAAGCGUGGG
This 563-nucleotide ribosomal RNA is filed under the name uncultured Syntrophobacter sp. Its description in RNAcentral is "bacterial SSU rRNA". It matches the Rfam family "Bacterial small subunit ribosomal RNA", at positions 210 to 765 of the family's 1533-position model. The record is from RNAcentral. Lineage: Bacteria; Pseudomonadati; Thermodesulfobacteriota; Syntrophobacteria; Syntrophobacterales; Syntrophobacteraceae.